UACAGAGGGUGCGAGCGUUAAUCGGAAUUACUGGGCGUAAAGCGCGCGUAGGCGGCUUUGCAAGUCGGGUGUGAAAUCCCCAGGCUUAACCUGGGAACUGCAUUCGAGACUGCAUUGCUAGAGUAUGGGAGAGGGAAGUGGAAUUUCCGGUGUAGCGGUGAAAUGCGUAGAUAUCGGAAGGAACAUCAGUGGCGAAAGCGACUUCCUGGACCAAUACUGACGCUCAUGUGCGAAGGUCAGGGGAGCAAACGGG
This 253-nucleotide ribosomal RNA is filed under the name uncultured bacterium. Its description in RNAcentral is "partial 16S ribosomal RNA". It matches the Rfam family "Bacterial small subunit ribosomal RNA", at positions 524 to 776 of the family's 1533-position model. The record is from RNAcentral.